RNAcentral lists this ribosomal RNA (439 nucleotides) under uncultured Longimonas sp. RNAcentral's name for it is "bacterial SSU rRNA". It matches the Rfam family "Bacterial small subunit ribosomal RNA", at positions 338 to 776 of the family's 1533-position model. The record is from RNAcentral. Lineage: Bacteria; Pseudomonadati; Rhodothermota; Rhodothermia; Rhodothermales; Salisaetaceae.
CCUACGGGGGGCAGCAGUGAGGAAUCUUGCGCAAUGGGGGAAACCCUGACGCAGCCACGCCGCGUGAAGGAAGACACUCCUAUGGGGCGUAAACUUCUUUUAUGUGAGAAGAAGAUCCUGUUCGUCAGGAUUUGACGGUAUCACAUGAAUAAGCACCGGCUAACUCCGUGCCAGCAGCCGCGGUAAUACGGAGGGUGCAAGCGUUGUCCGGAAUUAUUGGGUGUAAAGGGUGUGCAGGCGGGGCUGUAAGUCAGGGGUGAAAGCCUACGGCUCAACCGUAGAAUUGCCUUUGAUACUGCAGUCCUUGAGUCCCGGAGAGGCCACUAGAAUUCGUGGUGUAGCGGUGAAAUGCGUAGAUAUCACGAGGAAUACCAGAAGCGUAGGCGGGUGGCUGGACGGGUACUGACGCUGAGGCACGAAAGCGUGGGGAGCAAACAGG